UACGUAGCACACGCGCAGCACGCACGGAGUGGAGGCAGACGCCCAACCUCUCUCCUCUACCUCACCGUUUCAUAGAGCGCUCGAAGGGAAAGACAUAAGUUAGAGGUAGCUAGAUGAUAUCGGCGGCGGAGGAGGAGCUAGGUACACCAGCGGGAAACGGCGGCAGUGGCCUCUCCGAGCGGAGGCGCCGGCGUGCGGAAUCUAGGCCGCCCUCCUUUUCCUCCUUCUCGGGGCGUGACAGGACAAGAGGCCGCCGCCGCUGGAUGCGCGCUCGCUACCCUCCGCUCCUCCUCUUUCUCCGCUCCACCACCUCCUCGUCGGCUCCAGCUGCUGCCGCAGGAACCUGCUCGUGUGCGUGCCUUCCCUCCCCCUCCCCACGUCGGCGAGCACGCCUAGCUCCCCUUCCUCUUUCCACGACUACGACGGCCGAUGAACCCCUUCCCCUACGCCCGCUGGAACCCGCUCAAUUCUCUGGACUCCGCUCCGGCCGCCGCUGGAUACCUUCCUUCCCCUGCGGCUGCUGGAACCCUUCCUUCCCCUUCGGCCGCUGGAACCCUUCCUCCCUCUCCGGCCGCUUAACCCCAUCCCCUACGCCCACUGGACCCCUUCCCGCCUACCCUCGACGAGUCCGGCAGCAACGACAGCCGUCGGCCGCCGGUGGCGGGCAGCGAACCUCCUGCUCCCCUUACCUCUUUCUCCUCAGCAUAGCCCUUCCUCAAAACCCGCUACCCUGCUCCCCUUGUCGUCGGCGUGGUCCGCUGUACGGAGCGGAACGGCGAACCACCGGCUCUACUCCGGCGGGGUACGAGACAAGGCUACCCGGAGGAGACGAGCUACCAACGUGACCAACUCAAACCAUGCCAAAGGACAACAGCCGACGCAGCUCGGAACCCAGAACAGAGAGGAAGUGUAACUCGGAAGAAGAGGACAGCGGUCGCGAAGAAGAAGAGCAGACAGGACGACGAUUGGGUUGCACGAAGACGAACGACGGAGCCCAACAUGCUAGAGAAGACAACGACGCAGCAAGCUGAGUAUUCCUGUUGCCACUCUUCCCCGAGAAACUCCGCCGACGUGAGCCAGGGGGGACGUCGGUGCGUGGUGUAGCAGGCCGGCGCAACCACAGCGACGGCGGAGUCUCUGGACCUACUAAGACAACAACCGAAGACGAUAUGGACUUCACACUUCAGUAGGGCCUCAAUAAGGGUUUACCGCCGCCCUCCUCUUCCCUCGACGUUCACAGGCUCGUCAGCUAACUUGUCGAACUGGGUUUUAGAGGCCGCACCUGUGCGUCCAUACCACUGUGAUCGUUAUAUCGCAACGCCGCCUACCGUGUGUACUGGUUCUCUAAGUCUACAUGUACAUCUUUUGCAGAACUCCCACACUUUAAACGUCUUGACUGCCGAAACGUCAUUCUGAUACCUGCCGACGAUCCAAAACCAUUACAUACACUUAUACACUAGACGACUUAUUUACCAGUCGCGUACAUCAUAUCUAAGUCUCAGAUACGUAAGGACUUACGACGUCGAGUUCAUAUAAGUCAGGAGACAAGACACAAUCCUAACUUGGUACUAACAAAAUUGCCCCACACUAAAAUUAAACUAACGAUCUAAGUAUUUUUACUCCUAUGUGGGGACCUCGUAUUCAUUUGUAAUCUUAGAUUGUCGUGUCGAACUAGUACGAGCUUAUCCGUGUAAUCCUAACCUUUCCACUUUUUACGAUCUUGUCCUUCGUUUUGUCUCUGUAUCGAGUCUCCCUUUUGUUCAAACCACGUUACGACGGUAUUCCGCCGGUCAAGGCUACAAUCUUAGCUUGUUGUGUCGAACUAGUACGAGCUUAUCCGCGUAAUACACGAUGAACUCACAUCGUCAAAAUUUAUAAAACCUCUUGAUGUUAAUAAAUGUGCACACUGUAACUGACGUCCCACUCCUGUCCACGGCGGCUUCUAUUAAGCUCCAAAGAGCCUUUUAGGUCCCCUGUUACAGUAUCACACAUUGUCAAAAUUUAUAAAAACCUCUUGAUGUUAAUAAAUGUGCACACUGUAACUGACGUCCCACUCCUGUCCACGACGGCUUCUAUUAAGCUCCAAAGAGCCUUUUAGGUCCCCUGUUACAGUAUCAUGACUGUAACCCCUGCUCAAAACUAUGAAGCCCUCUUCGGAUACUGAAAAUGUUGGACACGAAAACCCUAUUCGCUAAGCCGUAAUCAUCCUUCUGACUUUCUGUCAAUUACCCUUUUAAUCACCACACUAACUUAUUCAUCAAAGUACCAAGACUACAGACUACAUACUAAUCUCGUAAAAGAGAAUACCACAUGACUUAAUAAUUUCUAACACACACUUAACAAUUCUACGUUAAAAAGAUACAUACACACCUAGGUGCACGCCAGGUCUGACAUGAUGACAUCAUCAAAUAUGAAAGACUUACGUUGUAUCGU
This 2433-nucleotide ribosomal RNA is filed under the name Triticum aestivum (bread wheat). RNAcentral describes it as "partial small subunit ribosomal RNA". The record is from RNAcentral. Lineage: Eukaryota; Viridiplantae; Streptophyta; Magnoliopsida; Poales; Poaceae.